GGUUUGAUCUGGCUGUAGCAUCUGUCACCCCAUUUAUCACUAGGGUUCAUUCAGCUGAUCUGGCUGGCAAGGCAGGUAUCCCCUUCUUCCCUUACUGUUCCAUGUGCAUCCCUCCCAAAGCAUUAUGCUUGGUGGAAGAGGAUGAUUUUUUCCGAUAGAGGAAGAUCAUUCUUCAGUAAAGGGUAUAUGAGUAGCUGUGUUCCCCUGCUAGAACUUCCAAACAAGCUCUCAACUAACCUUUUAUGUGGGGGAUCUGAUUGUUGUUUAACAGGAAGAUUCCCAACUGUCAGGCUUUUCUCU
Unclassified non-coding RNA from Ursus maritimus (polar bear), 300 nucleotides. Its record names the gene 7SK. It matches the Rfam family "7SK RNA". Rfam says of the family: 7SK was discovered as an abundant small nuclear RNA in the mid-70s but a possible function has only recently been suggested. Two independent studies have found that 7SK RNA binds the CDK9/cyclin T complex (known as elongation factor P-TEFb). P-TEFb activates transcription by phosphorylating the C-terminal domain of RNA polymerase II. NCBI's taxonomy places the organism in Eukaryota, Metazoa, Chordata, Mammalia, Carnivora, Ursidae. The record is from Ensembl.